This 487-nucleotide ribosomal RNA is filed under the name uncultured bacterium. Its description in RNAcentral is "bacterial SSU rRNA". It matches the Rfam family "Bacterial small subunit ribosomal RNA", at positions 501 to 987 of the family's 1533-position model. The record is from RNAcentral.
CUACGUGCCAGCAGCCGCGGUAAUACGGAGGGUGCGAGCGUUAAUCGGAAUAACUGGGCGUAAAGGGCACGCAGGCGGUGACUUAAGUGAGGUGUGAAAGCCCCGGGCUCAACCUGGGAACUGCGUUCUGAACUGGGUGACUAGAGUGUGUCAGAGGGAGGUAGAAUUCCACGUGUAGCAGUGAAAUGCGUAGAGAUGUGGAGGAAUACCGAUGGCGAAGGCAGCCUCCUGGGAUAACACUGACGUUCAUGCCCGAAAGCGUGGGUAGCAAACAGGAUUAGAUACCCUGGUAGUCCACGCCCUAAACGAUGUCGAUUAGCUGUUGGGCAGCAUGACUGCUUAGUAGCGAAGCUAACGCGUGAAAUCGACCGCCUGGGGAGUACGGUCGCAAGAUUAAAACUCAAAGGAAUUGACGGGGACCCGCACAAGCGGUGGAUGAUGUGGAUUAAUUCGAUGCAACGCGAAGAACCUUACCUGGUCUUGACAU